This 190-nucleotide unclassified non-coding RNA is filed under the name uncultured Cortinarius. RNAcentral describes it as "sequence contains ITS2". The record is from RNAcentral. Lineage: Eukaryota; Fungi; Basidiomycota; Agaricomycetes; Agaricales; Cortinariaceae.
AUAUACUCAACCUCUUUGGUUGGAUUUGGGGGUUUUGCUGGACUCUUUUCUGAGGUCAGCUCCUCUAAAAUGCAUUAGCAAAACAGUUUGUCGAUCGUUCAUUGGUGUGAUAAUUAUCUACGCUAUUGACGUGAGAAAGGCAGGUUUAGCUCAUAACAGUCCAUUGACUUGGACAAGAGACAAUUUAUUA